Long non-coding RNA from Diachasmimorpha longicaudata, 1733 nucleotides. RefSeq lists it as uncharacterized. NCBI's taxonomy places the organism in Eukaryota, Metazoa, Arthropoda, Insecta, Hymenoptera, Braconidae. The record is from RefSeq and is a predicted model, not a curated record. The transcript has 2 exons.
UCAAGUUAUUUUCUAGUAGUUCCUCUGUCCACUUGCUCUCAAUAUAUACGUAUUCUUAUUGAAAGUUAAUAAAUUGAAACAAAAAAAGAAUCAAAAAAUGUAGGAAUCAUCCUCUCAUUUCAAGUUCUAAAUAUUAGUCCAGAUGUUGGUCUUUCGUGAGAUAUUUCCCCCCGCCCGACAACUGCCGUGCACAAUUUUUUCAGUUAAAAAAAAUAAUAAAUAUUUCGCGUAUCGAUAAGAGAGGGUAUUGGCGAUAAUGAGGCGUAUCAUGACCUCUUUGAGGCUGACGCAAAGAUUUAAUGUUGGAAUACAAUUAAUGACAGUGAAAGUGGAAUUAUUUCAACGUAUAACCAGGUUAUAGACUAGGGGAUUUUUAGUUGAGAACGGGAUGAAAAUACAUUAAAUAAUGAAAUUAGAGGACUGAAUGCCAUAUGACUUGUAAUUUGAUUGCACGACUGGGCACAAAGCAUACUUACAGCAAGGACAAACUCUACCAACGUGAUCACGAUACUGUGCGUCGUUCCAAGGUCUGAAACACUCAAAAUCUUUUCGUUUUUUGCUAUUGAACUGUGAGAUAAAUGAAUUAUUUUCAAUGAUUUUUCCUAAAUUGCUGUCGACAUUAAUUUCGAUUGAUUCCAUUUUAAAAAGGCACAUUUUUUUUUACACGAGCGAUAACGAUAAGUCUUAGGCGGCCAUUUUCAACUCAGUGAAUGUGGUGUGCGCAAAUGUUGGUCGGGUUUCGUUGUGUGACUGUGUAAAGUGGCGCUCGACGAGCAUUUGGUGUAAGUAAACGGCGCCAUUUCAAAUCUAUUGGAAUUCUCUUGAAGACAUUGGUUUAAGGGUUGAAUAGUUCCAGAAUAGAGAGCAGUGGAAUUGUUUGAUAAAUGUUUAAUUUAGUUUAGAUGAAUUAAAGGAAUUUUUUUUUUUCACUGGAAGAGGCUUCUUUUGGUGUGAUAUGAAAUGAUUGACCUGAAGUGAUAGAAUAAUCAAAUGGUCACUCAAUUUGUAAAUUUGAUGUUUUUUUUUUUAGUUUUUAUUGAAAAUAAUUCUUCUAAAAGUGUAAUGAUAACAAACCGAUGGAGUUCUGAGUUAAAUUCUGUAGUGUUUUGCAUGUUCCUGUUAUUUUUCUCAUCGGAAUAAAAUAUAUGAAAUAUACAGGUACUAUCUGGUAGCGAGGGCAAUUCAUUCAUAAGUAUUGUAACCCAAUGCCGAAUUGAUACUCCUGGAAUACGUCAAGUCGGGUGAUUGAUAAUGGGUAGACUAGGUUCAAUUCGAUUCGAGCGAUUCCUCCUAUUCUCAUAGCUAUUCCUGCACCUGUUGACCAUCGCACGUUGUCUGUGAAGAGUCUUAUGUUUUGCGAGUAAUCGUCAUCUAGGAAUAAUUAAAUUAUUAUAUAAAAUUUUGAUAUUAAUAGAUGAAUUCCUUUUAGAAUUUUUACCUUUUUGAAGUUUAAUAUUUCCCAAAUUGCCACCAUUAAUGAAGCCGUGUAAUCUAAACAACUCGCCAAAACUAUUCUUUCCCGGUCUAAAUGGCAGUGGCGUGUAGAGAUGUAAAGCAAGGGCCCAGAAUGUGUUGCCACCUAUGGCAUUUCUCUCAUUCCGGGGGCCACAGCCUCUCAUAGCAAAUCCUCGAACAUUCAUAGGACCUCCGAGGAAAAAAUGAUCGGCUAUGUUAAUCUGCAUGUCGUUGCUGAUUCCACGAAGGAAUCCAGCUUGUGCACCCAGCUGAAAGCU